GCCAUCCAAGAUGACGAAAUCAUCUCCUACAUCAUCCACGGCCUCGACGUCGACUACCAUCCCCUCGUCUCCGCCCUUGAUGCACGCGUCAUGCCGGUCUCCCUCGACGAGCUCUAUGCCAUGCUCAGCAACUUCGACC
Non-coding RNA from Triticum aestivum (bread wheat), 139 nucleotides. Lineage: Eukaryota; Viridiplantae; Streptophyta; Magnoliopsida; Poales; Poaceae. The record is from Rfam.